GGGGGGGGGACAACAACCAUCGAUACACAGAUUAACAAACUUAAAAAUUAUCAGAACAAAUUAGAUCUCUAGGGUUUAUGUUCAAACAACAAUAAAUCUUUCUUUCUCGACAACCAAGUAAAUUUCACAACACAAAAAUGAUAGAAAAUGAACAAAAACAAACGGAAGAUAGAUUAGGAAAGUGAUUUGCGAUUGAAAAACAUAAAAUCUUAUCUUCUUGCUGAGCCAGUAGACUUCGCAACAGAAAACGGCAAAAAUCAACAAAAAAUCAAUGCACUUAUUAGGGAAAUAGAAAUUAUCAAAACCAAUUUGAUCUAAAGGGUUUAUGUUCGAACAACAGUAAAUAUUACCUUUUGAGUGAUCCAAUAGAUUUUGCAACACAAAAUAGGUAGAAAAUGAACAAGAACAAAUAGAGGAUAAAUUAGGAAACGAGUUCACACGAGUGAAUUAACAAAGUUUCUGCGAACGAGAGUGAAGAAUAUGAAAAGAUGAUUUCUAGGGCUUUUUCUUUGACUAGAAGACGGAUACAAAUAAAUGGAAGCGAUAAUACAAAGAGUGUAGAUAGAGAGAUUCUUAGGUCUCAUGUACAAUGAAAGUAGAGAGCAA
This 606-nucleotide long non-coding RNA is filed under the name Olea europaea subsp. europaea. Lineage: Eukaryota; Viridiplantae; Streptophyta; Magnoliopsida; Lamiales; Oleaceae. The record is from RNAcentral.